RNAcentral lists this ribosomal RNA (682 nucleotides) under uncultured Actinomycetes bacterium. RNAcentral's name for it is "bacterial SSU rRNA". It matches the Rfam family "Bacterial small subunit ribosomal RNA", at positions 1 to 685 of the family's 1533-position model. The record is from RNAcentral. Lineage: Bacteria; Bacillati; Actinomycetota; Actinomycetes.
CUCUGGAAUCGAUUAGAGAUAGAUACUGGCUCAGGACUAUCUCUCCGCGGCGUGCUUCACACAUGAAAGUCGAACGGAAAGGCCUCACUUGUGGGGUACUCGAGUGGCGAACGGGUGAGUAACACGUGGGCGAUCUGCCCCAAACUUUGGGAUAAGCCUGGGAAACUGGGUCUAAUACCGGAUAUGACCUUCUCCUGCAUGGGGGUUGGUGGAAAGCUUUUGCGGUUUGGGAUGGGCCCGCGGCCUAUCAGCUUGUUGGUGGGGUAAUGGCCUACCAAGGCGACGACGGGUAGCCGACCUGAGAGGGUGAUCGGCCACACUGGGACUGAGACACGGCCCAGACUCCUACGGGAGGCAGCAGUGGGGAAUAUUGGACAAUGGGCGGGAAGCCUGAUCCAGCAACGCCGCGUGAGGGAUGACGGCCUUCGGGUUGUAAACCUCUUUUCAGUACCUGUGUAUCUAGAGUGACGGUAGGUACAGAAGAAGCACCGGCCAACUACGUGCCAGCAGCCGCGGUAAUACGUAGGUGCGAGCGUUGUCCGGAUUAUUGGGCGUAAAGGGCUCGUAAGCGGUUGGUCGCGUCGGGAGUGAAAACACCGGGCGUAACUCCGUUGCUUGCUUUUCCAUACGGGCAGACUGGAGGCAUGCAGGGGGAAGACCGAAAUUCCUGGGUAGCGGUGGA